UGGGGCGGCGAUCAGGGUAAUUGGUCUUUGCUCCCUCAUCCUUGCAUGGGGUGCAAGGGGUCGAGUGUUCGAAUCACUCCGUCCCGACCA
RNAcentral lists this transfer RNA (90 nucleotides) under Pseudomonas putida. RNAcentral describes it as "tRNA-OTHER". The record is from RNAcentral. RNAcentral also lists the same sequence under 2 other names. Lineage: Bacteria; Pseudomonadati; Pseudomonadota; Gammaproteobacteria; Pseudomonadales; Pseudomonadaceae.